AGCCCUUCUAAAGCCAUGCCGACCUUGGGGUUGAACAGACCAACCUUGGAGGGAAAAUGGAGAGGAACGGAAAAGAAGAUGGAAAACAGUUAGGAGAAAACCUCCAAUGAGAAGACAGAAGGCUCAGAAAACUGAAGAAAACUUAUUUUGGUAAGGCAAAUAUUUCCAU
This 169-nucleotide long non-coding RNA is filed under the name Capra hircus (goat). RNAcentral describes it as "lncRNA (ENSCHIG00000006860.1)". Lineage: Eukaryota; Metazoa; Chordata; Mammalia; Artiodactyla; Bovidae. The record is from RNAcentral.